UACGAGUGCCCCAAGCGUUAUCCGGAAUCAUUGGGCGUAAAGGGUGUGUAGGCGGCAUGGUUAGUCUCCCGUUAAAUUUCCGGGCUCAACUCGGAGUCUGCGGGGGAAACGGCCAAGCUAGAGAGUGCGAGAGGUGAAUGGAACUCAUGGAGUAGGGGUGAUAUCCGUUGAUAUCAUGGGGAACACCAAAGGCGAAGGCAAUUCACUGGCGCAUUUCUGACGCUGAGACACGAAAGCGUGGGUAGCGAACGGG
This 253-nucleotide unclassified non-coding RNA is filed under the name Candidatus Azambacteria bacterium. Its description in RNAcentral is "contains 16S-23S intergenic spacer region". It matches the Rfam family "Bacterial small subunit ribosomal RNA", at positions 524 to 776 of the family's 1533-position model. Lineage: Bacteria; Candidatus Azamiibacteriota. The record is from RNAcentral.